GGAGUGCGCCGGGCGCCGCUGUUGUGGCUGCUGCCGUGGCAGCGGCAUUCGAGAGCAAACUCUGCUGAUGCAGCAGCAGUUGCUGCUGCUGUUGUGGCAACAAAUUGGCCAUCGCCGCCAUGGCAACAGCAGCCACCUGCUGCUGAUGAUGAUGUUGCUGCUGCUGCUGUUGCUGCUGCUGUUGAUGUUGCACUUGCUGUGCCUGUGCCUGUGCCUGCUGCUGUUGCUGGUGAUGCACGGCUGCUGCUGCAGCUGCGGCCACUGCGGCAGCCGCACUAUGAUGAUGCUGUCCAUGCUGCUGCUGCUGUUGCUGCUGCACGGCCACGGCCAGGCCAUUGCCAUU
Molecule: small RNA, 343 nt
Filed under: Drosophila guanche
Lineage: Eukaryota; Metazoa; Arthropoda; Insecta; Diptera; Drosophilidae
Source: RNAcentral